AUUUGAAAGAUCAAAUGGUUUUACUUAAUUAUAUUAAUCACAUCAGGUUUGUAAGUAAAAAUUACUCAAUAAAAUUUAGCAGUUUGAGUUAAAUGUACUCAUUCACUAUGUUCAUUUUACUCAUCUUACUUAAGUAGAUUUACUUAAUUUCCACAUGUGUGAAAUUUACUUAAAAAAUAUUUGUGCAAAAACUUGCAAAAUAAAAAUUCUACAACUUUUAAUGCCGACUGAAAACACUGACUGAGCUCAAAUAACAUUCAUAUCGGCCUGACAGUAUGUUUCCCGGCUUCACAGAAAAUUAAAUUUGUAAUGUAUUUGGAGACGUUAAAAGGAGUGAAAAGUCCCAAAGCAAAAUUUUUGUGUACUUCAUUAGAGGACUUUGGUUUCAUAAUGUGAAAACUUCUUACUCCUCUACUUUUCUUUGUCUUUAUAUUUAGUUAGUUAUUUUUCUUAAGUGUUUUUAAUUUAUUUUAUGCUUAUUUUGUUAUAUGAUGUACAGAGUGUGACAGAAAAUUGAGUGUAAUCUCAGUCAUUAUUUGUAUAUCUCCCAGUUAUGCCUUUCUGUGUUAAUGUAAAAGCAUUGAAAAAAAAAAUAUAAAUAAAAAAUAAAAAAUUCGUACAAAAGAAGAUGUUUCUCCAUUUAAACAGCCAGAAUCGAUUCUAUACGGAAUAUUAAAGUGUUUCAUAGGAACUAAGCCAUGAUUUUCGUGUAGCUGCUUCAUAGAAAGCCGGUGGAUUUUGUGAAUCUGUGUAAAUAAGAGUCAGUGAUGGAGAUCAGAUUCUGUUUCAUCAUGGAGGACACACAAACAUCCACAGAUCAAGAGUGUUCUCCAGGAUGCAGUUCAGUUCAUCAGAAGAGAUCAGGAGCAGAGUCCAGCUGUGUGUCUGUGAGGAGUGACCAGUCUAUGGAUCCUCCAGUAAAGUUUAAGAGUGGAGAUACAAAGACUGAUCUCAGGUACAGUAUUACAUAAAUAUUUUUAUAGCAUGUCAUUUUAUAUUAUCAAAACAGUGUCUUUACUUUCUACAAUAUGGGAAAUUCUUCUUGUACAUUGCUAAUAGCUUUUUUUCUAUCUUAAUCUGAUAUUUAACAUACAGUCAAACCAAAAAUUAUUCAGACACCAGAUAUCAUUUUUAUAAUUUUUUUUUUACUAGUGGGUGCAGAACACUAUACUACAUUUAUGUAAAUGAGGAUGGCAAAAUAAAGUAAACUGUAUAUUUUACCCA
Cyprinus carpio (common carp) is the source of this 1224-nucleotide long non-coding RNA. Lineage: Eukaryota; Metazoa; Chordata; Actinopteri; Cypriniformes; Cyprinidae. The record is from Ensembl.